GGGGGUGUAGCUCAGUCCGGUUAGAGCGCCUGCCUGUCACGCAGGAGGCCGCGAGUUCAAGUCUCGUCAUCCCCGCCA
This 78-nucleotide transfer RNA is filed under the name Chthonomonadales bacterium. RNAcentral describes it as "tRNA-Asp". It matches the Rfam family "tRNA". Rfam says of the family: Transfer RNA (tRNA) molecules are approximately 80 nucleotides in length. Their secondary structure includes four short double-helical elements and three loops (D, anti-codon, and T loops). Further hydrogen bonds mediate the characteristic L-shaped molecular structure. tRNAs have two regions of fundamental functional importance: the anti-codon, which is responsible for specific mRNA codon recognition, and the 3' end, to which the tRNAs corresponding amino acid is attached (by aminoacyl-tRNA synthetases). tRNAs cope with the degeneracy of the genetic code in two manners: having more than one tRNA (with a specific anti-codon) for a particular amino acid; and 'wobble' base-pairing, i.e. permitting non-standard base-pairing at the 3rd anti-codon position. The record is from RNAcentral. Lineage: Bacteria; Bacillati; Armatimonadota; Chthonomonadia; Chthonomonadales.